This 572-nucleotide small RNA is filed under the name Plasmodium billcollinsi. Its description in RNAcentral is "Plasmodium sp. DRC-Itaito sRNA PBILCG01_0107200". Lineage: Eukaryota; Apicomplexa; Aconoidasida; Haemosporida; Plasmodiidae. The record is from RNAcentral.
AAAAAAAUAUAUAUAUAUAUAUAUAUAUAUAUAUAUUUAUCAUAUAUAUUUAUGAACCUUCUUAUAUAUACAUAUCUAAAAACAAAAGUAUAUAUAUUAUAUUUUUAUAUUUUAUAUCACACCUUGGAAGAACUAUUAAAAAUGAACUAUAUUUUAUAAUGUCUUAGGUUUGUAAGCUUCUGAAGCUAAAAAAUGUAUAUUAUUUAUAUUACACGAAAAAAAUGAAAUUAAAAAUAAGAAAUCAGAAAAAGUCUUAAUUAUAUAGGUAUAAAUAAAUAUAUGUAUAUAUGUAUAUAUAUUUUUAUUGAUAUAUUUAUAAUAAUGUUGAUUAAAGUUGUUAAUUUAUAAUAUCUACAGGAAAGGAAAAACAAAAAUAAAAAUUAAUAGUAAAAAUUAUAUAAUGUGUCUGUUAUGGAAGGUUCAUUAUACAAUAAUGUUUAUUAGGACAUCAUUUUUAAAUUAGUUCUUUAUUUAAUUACUAUCAUUAAAAGCAUAGAAAGUUUAUAAUCUGGUAAAAACUAUUUAAAGCAGGAAACUGAAAAAAAAGAAAAUUUAUGUAGCAAAAAAAAAAA